RNAcentral lists this ribosomal RNA (301 nucleotides) under uncultured bacterium. RNAcentral's name for it is "partial 16S ribosomal RNA". It matches the Rfam family "Bacterial small subunit ribosomal RNA", at positions 509 to 809 of the family's 1533-position model. The record is from RNAcentral.
CAGCAGCCGCGGUAAUACGAAGGGUGCAAGCGUUAAUCGGAAUUACUGGGCGUAAAGCGUGCGUAGGCGGUGAGUUAAGUCUGCUGUGAAAUCCCCGGGCUCAACCUGGGAAUGGCAAUGGAUACUGGCGAGCUAGAGUGUGUCAGAGGAUGGUGGAAUUCCCGGUGUAGCGGUGAAAUGCGUAGAGGUCGGGAGGAACAUCAGUGGCGAAGGCGGCCAUCUGGGACAACACUGACGCUGAGGCACGAAAGCGUGGGGAGCAAACAGGAUUAGAUACCCCGGUAGUCCCUGUCUCUUAUAA